GUGCUUGCUUCAGCAGUACAGAUACUAAAAUUGGAACAAUAUAGAGAUGAUUAGGAUGGCCCCUGCUCUAGAAUGAGACUCAAAUUCAUGAAGCAUUCCAAGUGUUU
Small nuclear RNA from Perognathus longimembris pacificus (Pacific pocket mouse), 107 nucleotides. NCBI's taxonomy places the organism in Eukaryota, Metazoa, Chordata, Mammalia, Rodentia, Heteromyidae. The record is from RefSeq and is a predicted model, not a curated record.